CUAAUUCCGGGCAGGCAGACGCGGUAAUAAGGAGGAGCCAAGCGUGAUACUGAAUGACUGGGCGUAAAGAGGUGCGUAGGGUGCAUAGUAAGCAGAUAGUGAAAUUGUGUGGCUCAACCAGACACCCAUUAUCUGAACUGCUAAGCUAGAGUAUAUGAGAGGUAGCUGGAAUUCCUAGUGUAGGAGUGAAAUCCGUAGAUAUUAGGAGGAACACCGAUGGCGUAGGCAGGCUACUGGCAUAUUACUGACACUAAGGCACGAAAGCGUGGGGAGCGAACGGGAUUAGAUACCCCUGUAGUC
This 300-nucleotide ribosomal RNA is filed under the name uncultured Arcobacter sp. Its description in RNAcentral is "bacterial SSU rRNA". It matches the Rfam family "Bacterial small subunit ribosomal RNA", at positions 497 to 795 of the family's 1533-position model. The record is from RNAcentral. Lineage: Bacteria; Pseudomonadati; Campylobacterota; Epsilonproteobacteria; Campylobacterales; Arcobacteraceae.